GAUGAACGCUGGCGGCGUGCCUAAUACAUGCAAGUCGAGCGAACAGACGAGGAGCUUGCUCCUCUGACGUUAGCGGCGGACGGGUGAGUAACACGUGGAUAACCUACCUAUAAGACUGGGAUAACUUCGGGAAACCGGAGCUAAUACCGGAUAAUAUAUUGAACCGCAUGGUUCAAUAGUGAAAGACGGUUUUGCUGUCACUUAUAGAUGGAUCCGCGCCGCAUUAGCUAGUUGGUAAGGUAACGGCUUACCAAGGCAACGAUGCGUAGCCGACCUGAGAGGGUGAUCGGCCACACUGGAACUGUGACACGGUCCAGACUCCUACGGGGGGCAGCAGUAGGGAAUCUUCCGCAAUGGGCGAAAGCCUGACGGAGCAACGCCGCGUGAGUGAUGAAGGUCUUCGGAUCGUAAAACUCUGUUAUUAGGGAAGAACAAAUGUGUAAGUAACUAUGCACGUCUUGACGGUACCUAAUCAGAAAGCCACGGCUAACUACGUG
Molecule: ribosomal RNA, 497 nt
Filed under: uncultured bacterium
Lineage: Bacteria
Description: partial 16S ribosomal RNA
Rfam family: Bacterial small subunit ribosomal RNA
Source: RNAcentral